Molecule: ribosomal RNA, 829 nt
Filed under: uncultured soil archaeon
Lineage: Archaea
Description: bacterial SSU rRNA
Rfam family: Archaeal small subunit ribosomal RNA
Source: RNAcentral
AGGUUACUGCUAUCGGUGUUCGCCUAAGCCAUGCGAGUCAUAUGUAGCAAUACAUGGCGUACUGCUCAGUAACACGUGAAUAACCUGCCCUUGGGUCCGGCAUAACCCCGGGAAACUGGGGAUAAUUCCGGAUAACGCACAUAUGCUGGAAUGCUUUAUGCGUGAAAUGGAUUCGUCUGCCCAAGGAUGGGUCUGCGGCCUAUCAGGUAGUAGUGGGUGUAAUGUACCUACUAGCCUACGACGGGUACGGGUUGUGAGAGCAAGAGCCCGGAGAUGGAUUCUGAGACAUGAAUCCAGGCCCUACGGGGCGCAGCAGGCGCGAAAACUUUACAAUGCGGGAAACCGUGAUAAGGGGACACCGAGUGCCAGCAUCCUAUGCUGGCUGUCCAGGUGUGUAAACUACACCUGUUAGCAAGGGCCGGGCAAGACCGGUGCCAGCCGCCGCGGUAACACCGGCGGCCCGAGUGGUGAUCGUGAUUAUUGGGUCUAAAGGGUCCGUAGCCGGUUUGGUCAGUCCUCCGGGAAAUCUGACAGCUUAACUGUUAGGCUUUCGGAGGAUACUGCCAGACUUGGAACCGGGAGAGGUAAGAGGUACUACAGGGGUAGGAGUGAAAUCUUGUAAUCCCUGUGGGACCACCUGUGACGAAGGCGUCUUACCAGAACGGGUUCGACGGUGAGGGACGAAAGCUGGGGGCACGAACCGGAUUAGAUACCCGGGUAGUCCCAGCCGUAAACGAUGCUCGCUAGGUGUCAGCAUGGCGCGACCGUGUCUGGUGCCGCAGGGAAGCCGUGAAGCGAGCCACCUGGGAAGUACGGCCGCAAGGCUGAA